CCAGCCGUUGCCUUCACUUCAAAAAUACCCUCUUCAAUAGUGAGAAGAGAAACAUCAAAAGUACCACCUCCAAGAUCGGAAAUCAACACAUUCUUCUCAGAGCUGAAAAUUGCUUCUCCUCACCUUUGUAUGUGACGACAAUCAUAGGUUUGUCACCAGGUGCUGCAACAACCUUGAAUGGCCAGUGCUUCAUGCCACUCUGAACCGACGGAUCACUGGACCUUCUACCAAUCUGCCACUUCUGAAAGGACUAUUUGCGACUCAGUAGUCAAACUUAAGAUUGGCUUCUGGUAUGUACUUGUAUCCCCUUGUCCAGAACAAGAAUCCCUUUCACAGAUUUCUACUAACCCUGGCAUCUGUGAUGAGAUUUCGUGUAGGUUUGCUUACGUUGUUCAAUGUCCAGCCUUAUGCCGCUCAUCUAUCCAAUAUUUUUUCUACUGUACUUAGCUCCAACAUUUUUCGACUUCAAUGAAUUAUAAUAAAUUCUAUUUGAUUUACCAUGGGUAAUCUUG
Molecule: long non-coding RNA, 512 nt
Filed under: Olea europaea subsp. europaea
Lineage: Eukaryota; Viridiplantae; Streptophyta; Magnoliopsida; Lamiales; Oleaceae
Source: RNAcentral